GCUUACGGCCAUAUCAGCCUCAACAUGCCCUAUUUCGUCUGAUCUCGGAAGCUAAGCAGGCUCGGGCCUGGUCAGUACUUGGAUGGGAGACUGCCUGGGAAUAUCAGGUGCUGUAAGCU
This 119-nucleotide ribosomal RNA is filed under the name Cyclopterus lumpus (lumpfish). Lineage: Eukaryota; Metazoa; Chordata; Actinopteri; Perciformes; Cyclopteridae. The record is from RNAcentral.